GAUGAACGCUGGCGGCGUGCCUAAUACAUGCAAGUCGAGCGAACAGAUAAGGAGCUUGCUCCUUUGACGUUAGCGGCGGACGGGUGAGUAACACGUGGGUAACCUACCUAUAAGACUGGGAUAACUUCGGGAAACCGGAGCUAAUACCGGAUAACAUUUGGAACCGCAUGGUUCUAAAGUGAAAGAUGGUUUUGCUAUCACUUAUAGAUGGACCCGCGCCGUAUUAGCUAGUUGGUAAGGUAACGGCUUACCAAGGCAACGAUACGUAGCCGACCUGAGAGGGUGAUCGGCCACACUGGAACUGAGACACGGUCCAGACUCCUACGGGAGGCAGCAGUAGGGAGUCUUCCGCAAUGGGCGAAAGCCUGACGGAGCAACGCCGCGUGAGUGAUGAAGGGUUUCGGCUCGUAAAACUCUGUUAUUAGGGAAGAACAAAUGUGUAAGUAACUGUGCACGUCUUGACGGUACCUAAUCAGAAAGCCACGGCUAACUACGUG
This 497-nucleotide ribosomal RNA is filed under the name uncultured bacterium. RNAcentral's name for it is "partial 16S ribosomal RNA". It matches the Rfam family "Bacterial small subunit ribosomal RNA", at positions 28 to 507 of the family's 1533-position model. The record is from RNAcentral.